RNAcentral lists this ribosomal RNA (253 nucleotides) under uncultured bacterium. RNAcentral describes it as "partial 16S ribosomal RNA". It matches the Rfam family "Bacterial small subunit ribosomal RNA", at positions 524 to 776 of the family's 1533-position model. The record is from RNAcentral.
UACGUAGGGUGCAAGCGUUAAUCGGAAUUACUGGGCGUAAAGCGUGCGCAGGCGGUUUUUUAAGUCAGAUGUGAAAGCCCCGGGCUCAACCUGGGAAUUGCAUUUGAAACUGGGGAACUAGAGUGUGUGAGAGGGGGGUAGAAUUCCACGUGUAGCAGUGAAAUGCGUAGAGAUGUGGAGGAACACCGAUGGCGAAGGCAGCCCCCUGGGUCAAGAUUGACGCUCAUGCACGAAAGCGUGGGGAGCAAACAGG